RNAcentral lists this long non-coding RNA (1670 nucleotides) under Homo sapiens (human). RNAcentral's name for it is "HSALNT0403740". Lineage: Eukaryota; Metazoa; Chordata; Mammalia; Primates; Hominidae. The record is from RNAcentral.
UCCAGCCUGGGCAACAGAGAGAGAGAGACCCUGUCUCAAAACAAAACAAACAAACAAAUCAAUCCCAUGCCUUCCCCCUUUUCUUACCAACAAUGGCUCUUCCAGAUUUUUUCAGCAAAAGCUGAGUGACUGUGACCUGCCUGGCAAAAAGCUAAAACCUGCAAGUGCAAGAAAGGGGAAGGAGGAUGGGAAGAGAGAAUAAGGAAAAGCGAGGCAGAAACCCGAAAGACCAACUCUCAAGGGCGUGUCUCAUAAGAGUUCACUACAUUGCCAACACCAUCCAUCCCUUUACAGAAGGCCCUCACAUCUGUCUCUAUUUAAACUAAGAGUAAGGCCUCAAUGGACACUCACCUCUGUAUAAGACCUGAACAUCUGCUCAUGCCAACUGAUGCUGUAGCUUUGCCAUGACCAGACUGUGUGUGUUCAACUCUGGGACAACCACUAAACCAAGCAAGGAAGUGAUUACUCCAGGUAAAAGACCUGCGGGCCCCAGGUGAGCUUGCAUGCUUUGGAAGCAAACAGCUCCGUGUCAUCAACGGGGAAUGCUCUUGUCAUCUGUGAUCCAAGACAACUCCACCUUGUCUCCUUAAGUGGUUAUUCAGGCUCAGUGGUACACAUGCCCCCACUGAUAUGUGACCCAGCCCAUUGAGAAACGGAUGCAGGUUGCCCAGCCCCAGCCCUUAUUCAGUCAUGAAACUUGGGAUGUCCCAAAUUCCCAGAAGUCCAUUCUCCAGCAUUGCUGGAAAGGGUGAUGACCCAGCCAGAGGUGCUACUCAACACCGCUCUUUCUUUCCUUCAUUGUGUUGCAAACUUACUUAGUGGUCAUCUUUCAGAGGGGCUCCUGCUACUACCCACCUGAGAAUCCUGAUCCUCCCCCUAUCCCAGAAGCACCUGUAAACCUCCCCAGUCUUCCCAGCAGUGAGGAAUACAGAAGACUGACACCACGGAAUAGUCCCAGGGGAGCCUCAGCAGUUUUUGUAGCAACUGCAAGGGAUGCUGCUGUGUCUGAAACUGGCCAGUGAAACCCACAAAUCUAUUCACCAGCACCACACCUGGCUAGGGACGCUCCGAGAGCCGGGCUCCUUGCUGGUCUCCUGAGGCUGAGGUUCCCAGAGACAUGCUCAGUACAACCUGGCCGUGUUCCUUCAUCUCCCAAGUGGAUGAAUGAAGCUCUCCUCACAAGCAUGCACAACGGCUCCACGCCAAAGCUUCCCACAGAACACAGAACCUGGCUAUAAGGCUCCAUCAAACGGCAGGUUUCUCUCUCUCUCCAACUCACCCACUGAAAGUUUCAGAGACACGGGAGAGCAGAACCCUAGAACAAUGAGGCAAUCUUCAACAUCACAACUAACAACUCCUAUUUAUUAAGCAUUUGUAUGUGUAAAACUGUGCCAUGAGUUUUCCAUUCAUUCCCUUGCAGAAUCUCCAGCCUCAUUUAAGAGGCACUGAGAUCCAUGGAAGUCAAAUAACCAAGAGGUAACAACCUCAAAGUUGCAAGCUCAGAUAUGCUGCUAACUUCCUUGUCUGACACUAGGCAGCCCCCUCCUCUGUCUGUAACCAAAGAAAUUCAUAAAGUUCAGGCCCAAAGACGAACUAGCCAUCAACUAAAUCUAAGGAGUAACCUAUUAAGUACUUUUACAGAAACCAACAGAAAUAAAUUCUGCUUCAAA